AUUUAAAUAGUUUAUUAAAAACAUUGAUUUGUGGAAUCAAAAAUAUAAAUUUUAUUAUUUUAAAUA
This 66-nucleotide transfer RNA is filed under the name Hydrothassa fairmairei. Its description in RNAcentral is "tRNA-His". The record is from RNAcentral. Lineage: Eukaryota; Metazoa; Arthropoda; Insecta; Coleoptera; Chrysomelidae.